UACGUAGGGGGCAAGCGUUGUCCGGAUUUAUUGGGCGUAAAGCGCGUGUAGGCGGCUGGGUAGGUCCGCUGUGAAAACUCGAGGCUCAACCUCGAGACGUCGGCGGAAACCAUCCAGCUAGAGUCCGGAAGAGGAGAGUGGAAUUCCUGGUGUAGCGGUGAAAUGCGCAGAUAUCAGGAAGAACACCCGUGGCGAAAGCGGCUCUCUGGGACGGUACUGACGCUCAGGCACGAAAGCGUGGGGAGCAAACAGG
RNAcentral lists this ribosomal RNA (253 nucleotides) under uncultured bacterium. Its description in RNAcentral is "partial 16S ribosomal RNA". It matches the Rfam family "Bacterial small subunit ribosomal RNA", at positions 524 to 776 of the family's 1533-position model. The record is from RNAcentral.